This 26743-nucleotide long non-coding RNA is filed under the name Capsicum annuum. Its description in RNAcentral is "long non-coding RNA (CANN_LNC005717)". The record is from RNAcentral. Lineage: Eukaryota; Viridiplantae; Streptophyta; Magnoliopsida; Solanales; Solanaceae.
CCCACUUUACCCUCGCUAUUAAAUACUAUUCAUCACUCAAUACAUUUUUCAAAAUAUUAAGUUUAUUACUCCUUCCGUCUAUUUUUACUUGUCCAGUUUUCUUAUUAUUUUGGGAUGUGCAACAAUACUUGUCCAAUUUAUAAAACCAAUGGUAUUAAAUACAAUACAUCUCUCAUUUCAUUUUUGAAAGCAAAAAAAUUAUUAUAUUCAAAAGGUGACAUAGUAAAAUCACCCCUCCAUUUAUCGUUUUAAGGUAUGUGCCAAGUAAAAAGUGGAUAAGUAUUUACGGACGGAGGGAGUGUAUUCAAAUUUUAUCCUUGCUAUUAGAUACUACUCAUCACUCAAUACAUAUUCCAAAAUAUUAAAUUUAUUAUAUUCAAACAGUAAUAUAGUAAAAUUACCCUUAUUAUUUAUUAUUUCUUAACGUGUGUGCCAAUACAAGUAUUGUUGGAAAGAGGGAGUAAUAUAUUCGGGGCUAGAUAUUAAAGCAAGCCAAGAUUUCUAAGCAUACCUGAAUUUCAAGAGGGAUGAGUUCAGCCGGCAGAAGAGGGAUUGUAAAGUUCAAAUCUUGCAUUGAAUUUGAUGGAAAUCCAGCAGAUUUUGUGCGCUUCUUCCAUUUUUUGGUGUUGAUGGUAGGCUUUAUCUUCCUCUUUUUCCAUUUGGGCGCCACAAAUUUGAGUGAAAUUCCCAAGUUUAUAGUAGUCAGCUGUGGACCGAAUUCGACAUGGGUCGGAUCAGGUCUGGUCGGGUUAUAUUAGGAAUAGUGGGUUCUCUCUUCAAAAUUGGAUAUUUUUAGGCAAUUUGGGGGUUUUCGUUUAUCUAGGGUAUGGGUAACACAUUUAUUAACCGUGAGUCAGAUAGACGAUUUUUCAAAAUUAAUCGUAUUUUUUAAAACAACUUCUUCUAUUUUAUUUUAUUUAAUACUUGGCGCAUCACUCUUUAUGUAUCGUCUUUUAGAUGGAAUUUGAUUUCUAUUCCAGUUUUAGAUAGAUUUGGUUAAGGUUUUUAAUUUUCUUAAUGAAAAAAUUAAUUUGUUUUUGAACUCCCGAGUUGUUGGUCAUGGAAUCCUAUCUGAUGGUUUGUUAAAAUUUUCUUGACUUCUAAUUUUGAAUACAACUCUUUUAAUUUUGAAAUUGUGGGGUCUAAACGAUCAAUUUUAAAUGAAAAAUUGGGCAUGUUGUGGCAUAGGUGUUUAGGUCACAUCUCUAAAUACAGAGUUGAUAGAUUGGUUAAGUCUAAUAUUUUACCUUCUCUUGAUUUUGGGGACAUAGGAACAUGUAUUGAUUGCAUUAGAAGAAAGUUGACUAAACAAGAAAAAAGAAUGCUAUUUGUAGUUUUAGUUGUUGAAAAUCAUUCACACAAACAUAAGUGGUCCGUAUUCUACUUCAAUAUGUGGUUCAAGUUAUUUUAUCACCUUUAUUGAUGACUUUUCUCGGUAUGAUUAUGUUUUUCUUAUUAAAAAAAAUUAUAUUCUCUUGAAAUGUUCAAAGUGUUUAAAACUGAAGUAGAGAAAUAACUGGGAAAGGUCAUUAAAAGAAUAUGAUUUUUAUGAAGUAGAGAAACAACUGGGAAAGGAUCUCACUAUCUUAAUGAUCUUUCCCAACACUAAAACUUAAACCCUAAACUCUGAUAGUGAGGUCCUUUCCCAGUAGUUUGAUAUCAUUGAGAUCCAAACCAUUAGAUCUUUAUAGAUGUACAAAACUUUUCCUCCUAGUGGUAUUAGAGCCUAGGGUUCAAAGAUCCAAUGGUUUGGUAAAGCGAGGUUGAAGACAAGUCCAAGACAGUUCUAAUCAAUUUGCAAUCAAUUGGAUGAUAACGAAGAUUUUAUUACACUAUAUGUGGAGAAGAUAUUUCAAUCAUAUUUUCAACAAUCCUGCUGUCACAUCUUUGAAAACAAAGCUAACCCUAUUUAGAGCUCCAAUAUUUUUAACCCAAAAGGGAUAAUAUAUUUUUAACCGAAAAAGGCUCAAUUUUUAAGCAUGACAAAAGCAGAGAUAAAUGAAGAUUAUGUGAAGAACCAAAAUUAUGCAUAUGACAUGAAGAAGGCAGAUCAAGUCAAGAAAAUCAAGCCCAAAAAGGAGAGAUUUAUUAGGAUUUUUGCCCCGAUUUUCUUACCAAAUUUAAGUUUUAUUUUUUCUUAUAAGGAAAAUAAAAGUAACCAUAAAUACUUUUACUUUUCCUUAAAGGAAAAUAUAAUUUUUUUUCCAUAUUUGACAAACCUCUUUCUUGAAGGAAAGGUUUUGUAUAUCUAUAAAUAGAAGACUCCUCUUGUCAUACAAUAACACAAUAGCAUCCACAAUAUAGUCCUUUAAAGAGUCAUUGUUUAGGGGGAGAUUUCUCCGAAUAGGUUUAAUGUUUUUUAUAUUCGGUUUUAUAAUAUGUAGGCCGAUUGGCCAAAAUAUAUAAUAAUUUAAUGCUUUUUAGUAUUGUUUUCUUUGUCGUCUACUUUAUCGUCUCAAGGUUUGCAGCUAAUAGCUUCCGCAUGACACCCUCUUGAUUUCGAACCCAACAGUAUGAUGAGUAAGCUAUUAAAAUCGUACUUUAAAAAAACUAUAAUUUAAAAGAUAUGAUGAGAAGUAUGAUGAGUAAGCUAUUAAAACCGUACUAUAAAAGAUAUGAUGAGAAGUAUGAUGAGUAUGAUGAGAAGUAUGAAGAGUAAGCUAUUAAAAUCGUAAUUUAAAAGAUAUGAUGAGAAGUUGUAAUUUAAAAGAUAUGAUGAGAAGUAUGAUGAGUAGAUCUAACUUACCUGAAAUCCUCUAGGGUGAAGCUGUUAAAACCUCCAUGUAUAUUCUUAAUCGUGUCCCUUCCAAAUCAUUCCCUAAAAUCCCUUUUGAGUUGUAGAACCAAUAAAAAAUUCAGUUUAAAUCAUUUUCAAGUUUGGAGACCUUCUGCGAAGGUAAAGAUAUAUAACCCUUCAGAAAAGAAAACCGAACCUAGAACCUCGCGUUGUUUUUUCAUUGGUUAUCCAACUGAGAAGGUAAAGAUAUAUAACCCUUCAGAAAAGAAAACUAAACCUAGAACCUCGCGUUGUUUUUUCAUUGGUUACCCAACUCAUUCUAAAAGAUACAGGUUCUACUGUCUUACAAAGGGAACAGGAAUAGUUGAAUCUCAAAAUACAAAAUUUCUUGAAUUUGAUAUUGCAGAUAAGGAUUGUUCUUAGCAUAUCGCUCCUGACUUAAUUGUUUCCCUUUCAAGUCAGUCCUUAAAACCCCUUUUGAGUUGUGGACCAAUAGAAAAUUCAGUUUAAAUCAUUUUCUAGUUUGGAGAUGUUCUGCGAAGGUAAAGAUAUAUAACCCUUCAGAAAAGAAAACUAAACCUAGAACCUCGCAUUAUUUAUUCAUUGGUUAUCCAGGUCAUUCUAAAGGAUACAGGUUCUAUUGUCCUACAAGGGGAACAGGAAUAAUUGAAUCUCAAAAUGCAAAAUUUCUUGAAUUUGAUGUUGUAGCUAAGGAUUGUUCUCAGCAUAUUGCUCCUGAGCCAACUGAAAGUAUUGAAGCUGUCAGAAUUCCUCUCAGUAUUACCUCAGAAUCAUUUGUGUCUGCACCUAUACAUGAUGAACCUCAUAUACAUGUGCAAACUGAUGACUUUGUACCUGCAGAAAUUAGGUGCCUAUUAUUGAAGAAGUGGUCAAGGCACCUGCUAUUGUUGAUCAAGAGGUUCAGAAUUUAAGGAGAUCAAGUAGACCGAGACGAUCGCUGCUAUCGGAUGAUUAUUUAGUAUACCUAAAUGAAGGCGACAUUGUUGAUCCUGUAAGCUUUUUGGAAGCUUCAUCAUGUGCUCAAUCAAAGAUGUGGCUUGAUGCCAUGUCUGAAGAGAUAAAAUCCAUGAGUAAAAAUGAUGUAAGCUUUCAGAGCUUCCUAAAGGUCAGAAGUUUGUUGGAUGUAAAUGGAUUUUUAUGACCAAAAAGGAUUCAAAUGGAAAUGUUGAACGAUUCAAGGCGAGAUUAGUUGCUAAAGGAUUUACACAGCGAGAAGGGGUUGAUUACAAUGAAACUUUUUCACCAGUAUCAUCUAAGGAUUCUUUUAGGAUCAUUAUGGCAUUAGUAACUCAUUUUUAUCUUGAUCUACAUCAAAUGGAUGUAAAGACAGCCUUUUUCAAUGGUGAUCUUAAUGAAGAGGUUUACAUGUAACAACACCAAGGUUUUGUUAGAAAAGGCAGCGAGCAUCUUGUGUGUAAAUUGAAGAAAUAUAUUUAUGGCUUGAAGUAAGCUUCUCGAUAGUAGUACUUGAAGUUUGAGGAGAUUAUGACUUCUAUGGGGUUUGUGGAGAACAACAUUGAUCAUUGCAUCUAUCUCAAGAUCAGUGAGAGUAAGUUCAUCAUUCUCACUCUUUAUGUUGAUGAUAUUUUACUUGCUAGUAAUAAUUCGGGACUGUUGCACGAAAUUAAACAUUCAUUAAAUAAAAUGUUUGAUAUGAAAGAUCUAGGAGAGGCAUCAUUUGUUCUGGGCAUUGAGAUUCGACGAGAUAGAUCUCGUAAGUUAUUGGAGUUUUCACAAAAGGCCUAUAUUGAUUGUAUUUUAAAAAGAUCUCAAAUGAAAAAUUGUAAGCCUGGUAAUGUCCCUAUGGUGAAAGGUGAUAAUUUAAGCCUAGACUUGUGUCCCAAAAAUGAUCUUGAGAAAGAUUUUAUAAAAGAUGUGCCUUAUCCAAGUGUUGUUAGAAGUCUUAUGUAUGCAUAAGUUUGCACUCGUCCUGACAUUGCUUUCAUUGUCAAUGCUCUUGGACGUUAUCAAACUAAUCCAGGAAGAAGUCAUUGGGUAGCUACUAAGAAAGUAAUGAGGUACUUGAAGAAGACAAGAGAUUAUAUAUUAGUGUACAAAAACGUUAACGACCUUGAGGUAAUUGGUUACACAGACUUAGAGUUUGUUAGGUGUCCUGAUGAUUUGAGGUCCACAUCUGGCUUUAUCUUUAUGUUUGCAGGGGGUGCGAUAUCUUGGAAGAGUGUGAAGUGAACUCUUAUAGCAUCUUCCACUAUGGAAGCAGCAUUCGUAGCUUGUUAUGGUGCAGCUACACAAGCCAUUUGGCUUAAGAAUUUUAUUUUAGGGCUUGUGGUAGUUGAUUCCAUCUCUAGGCCCUUGGAGAUUUAUUGUGACAAUAAGGCAGCUGUGUUUUACUCAAAAAAUAAUAAAUCUUCUUCAGUUUCUAAGCAUAUGGAAAUAAAAUAUCUGGCUGUGAGAGAUAUGGUUAAAAGGGAGGACAUUGUGAUUGAACAUAUACCUACUGAUUUGAUGUUUGCUGAUCCACGAAUCAAGGUGCUAAUACCCAUAGCUUUUACACAACAUAUUCAUAAUAUGGGUGUUGUUGUGUCAUUUGAUUUGUUGGGUUAGUGGGAGUAUUUAAUAUUGUUAUUCAUUUGUCAUUAGACUAUUCACCUUAUUGUUUCAUAUUUAUGGUGAUAUUAUCUCUUAAAUUUACAUUUAUGCUAUGGUAGAUUUUGCUAUCAUUUAUGCUGUUGAUUAUUAUUGUGUACACUUUAAUAUUGUUUUAUUAUAUUAAGGAUUUUUGCCUUACGUGUUAGCUAUGUUUCAUAUUGAUAAGAUCAUAUUGUUAUUUUAUUGGAUUUUUCUUUUGUAGACAUAUACGAUAUAUCAUUUUACCUUGUGAAUUUUUUGGUUGUUGCACCAUGUAAUAUGUUGCACAUGUUGAACCUUGAAAAUCAAGAUUUUAUGCUAGAGCACAUGUUGUUUUAGUGCUCACACAUGUUGUAACAAAAUCGCGGUGACGAUUUUUCUAUGGUACGCAUGUUGAUUUUAAACAUACAUGUUGAUAUGAAAAAUUGUUGAAGGACUAACAAUGAAAUAGCCUCGAUUUGGAGUCCAUGUUGGCUAUUUCUUGCUACACUACCACAUUAUUUGAUUUAUGUCUACAAAACUUUAGUGUUAGUAAUUGUGGACUGGUCUUGUAUCGCUGGUUGAUGCAAGUACUGUUGCAGUUCAACAGUGAUGUUUUCCUUGAUUGAACUAUGUUGGAGAUGGCGUUUCACCUCUAAAUACUUAUGGCCACUGUCUACUCAGUCCAAGAGUCAUUUUCAUAAAAAUAUUUUUUUCAAAAUUUUUCUAAAAGUUAACAUUGUCCAAGUGAGAGAAUGUUAGAAUUAUUUAUUUUAUGUGGACUUAACAUUAACUUUUUAUUACAUUAAAGUAAAACGAGCUGAUGUUAUUAAUUGGUGGACAAGACACAGGUCGUGUAUUCAUGUAGAUUCCAUAUUUGCAUGUAUCCAUUUCAUGUUAUUGGUAUGGGCUGACAAUAAUGUAGGCAUGUAGUAGACCUGUGAGCCCAUAAUGAGGGUGCACUCAGUUAAGGAUUUUAAGCCUAUAAAUAAAAGGCUAGGUCCCCUCUCUUGGUUUUAACAUAAGACGUAUUCCCAUAACCUAAGGUGCUACCCGUCAUAAACAAAGGAGAGGAAGACUCCGCCUAGUUCGUCUUCCAUUACGUGUAAGCAAUGACGAACAAAGGUACACACCUUUCCUCUCUCAUAUUCCCUUACUUUGUGUUCUUGAUUUAUGUGAAUCUGUGGUGUGUUUCUCUAUUAAUUUCAACAUAAAAUGCUUCUACAUAUUUUUUUUUUAAGUGGCUAAAUUCCCUCUUUGUUAUUACUUGGAUCAUGUGUUAUCGAUUCAUUGAUUAUUUUUACUAAAGUUCAUUAUUUAAAUAUUAUUUUGGCACAAAUGACAAAUGCCAUCAUUUUAUUCGAUGUUUUACACAUCAUUCGCGAGUGUGACUCACACAUGUGAUAUAUUUUUAUUGAUUAUGCAAAAAGUGCCAAAAUUACGUAGUAAAACAACAGUUAAGAUGUUUAAAAUGUACAUGUAUAGUUGAAGUGCACAAAUAAAAAUUGAUGAUCACUUUUAAGGAGGUGGUGAUGUGUUUGGCCAAAAUAGGAACUUUCUAUCUCUCUUAAGUUAUAUAUUUCCAUUGUCACUUCAAUGGAGUCCAAUAUUUCUAGACUCAAAUGAAAUAUUGAUUCUAUUUUGUUGACAAUGUUCCGAAAACAUUCAGAAUAUUAUAUGCACUCGGUGUUUAUAUCAAAAUAAAUAAUUUAACUUCAGAAAUUAAAAAAUGAAAUGACAAUACAUAUUUUUCAGUAAGAAAUUUUUUGAUUGCAAUCACAAGAAAACAAAUGAAAACAACAAAAGCUUAGUUUAUGAGCAACAAUGCAUGUCAAUUUGUCUUUAUUUUUUUUAGAACUUAUUUCUCAUCACAACUUAUCUCUGCCUCCUUGUGAGGGGCAAGGCCUGUUGUUUAAAUUGUCUUGUUCUUAGCUAUUUCUCUAAGGCAUCUGAUACUGACAAUUUUUGUCUUGGUUUGAGACAACAUAAAAAAUAUCUAUGCACUUUGUCAUUUUCUUUAUUUUGAUGUUUCACUUACCUCAUAGAUCUAGAGGAGAUGUUCAAAAACAAGAACAAUGAGCUAAGUGGUCUCAGGGGCUGACCUAUGUGUAAUUUUGUAGUGUCCCAGCAUCCGUUGAACAUGACGUAAACAACAUAUAAUUAUAUAAGAAUUGUAAUAAAGAUUGAUAUAAGAUUUUAAAAAUGAUGGUUGAGUACUUGGUUCCAAGGUGGAAACUUAAAACCUUGGGCGUCAAUAUGUGUGUUUGAACCACCCGGACACCCACGACCCCUAGAUCCUGAAUCCACCAUUGAUGUGGUCUCAUGGUACCUAACUCAUCAAUGUAUGAAAAUCUAUGGGCUUUACAUUUUCUUUAACUAAUCAGUAUAUAAGGACCUAAAAAUCGUUGAGCCAUAUAAGCAUCUCACAUUACAUUCUUCUGCACUUUUUCUACCCCUUUCAUAACAGUACCAAGCCAAAAGGUACCUACAAAGAUGGAAGUUAAGAACAAGUAUGUAGCAAUAAAAGCCAACAUAAAUGGUGCACCAGAAGUGUCAAACUUCGAGAUAAAAGUCGAAAACCUCUCACGUAUAGUUGAGCCAGAGUCGAAGGAGGUUGUCAUCAAGAACCUGUUAGUAUCGAUUGAUCCUUAUCAGAUAAACCGGAUGAAGAGCCAAAGUUCAUCACAAACAUCGAUAAGUUAUGCAACUGCCAUUACUCCUGGCGAGGUCAUUGACACUUAUGGUGUAGGAAGAGUGUUGGUUUCUCAUCGGCCCGACUUCAAGAAAGGUGACUUGGUAGUUGGGCUACUUACCUGGGGAGAGUACACUGUUGUAAAGGAAGGUUCCCUGUUGAAUAAGCUGGAUCCUAGUCUGGCAUUUCCUUUGUCUUACCAUGUCGGAGUUUUUGGAUUCAGUGGACUUGCUGCCUAUGGUGGAUUCUUCGAAGUGUGUAAGCCGAAGCCAGGGGAGAAAGUUUUCGUGUCUGCUGCUUCUGGUUCAAUAGGACGUUUAGUAGGACAGUAUGCUAAAUUACUUGGAUGUUAUGUUGUUGGCUCUGCUGGUAGCCAAGAAAAGGUAAAUUUUCUUAAGGAGAAACUUGGAUUCAACCAUGCAUUCAAUUAAACAAGAAACUGACCUCAAAUCGGCUCUCAAAAGGUGUUUCACUCAAGGGAUCGAUGUCUACUUUGACAAUGUGGGAGGCAAGAUGUUAGAAGCAGCAGUGGCAAACAUGAAUUCACUCGGCAGAGUAGCCCUCUGUGGGGUUAUUUCUGAGCACGCGAAUGCUAGCACACAAGCUGGCCAGAUGUGAAGGAUAUAGUCUACAAGAGGAUUAGAAUCCAAGGAUUCCUAGCAGCUGAUUUCAUGCCAGUGUAUGCAGAUUUCCUGUCGAAAACAGUUGAGUACCUCCAAGAUGGAAAACUUAAGACCAUCGAAGAUAUCUCACAAGGCGUUGAAAGCAUCCCCUCUGCUUUUAUUGGACUGUUCAAUGGUGAUAAUAUAGGCAAAAAGAUUGUCAAAGUUGCAGAUGAGUGAAAAAAAGAGCAAGAAGAUUCAAGACUGUUGACCUAUUUGUUCAUGAAUUCACAAAAAAUAUCUUAUCUGUACUUCUUUCAAGUUGUAAUCCAUUUAAAUGUUCAUCUUCUGCAUCAAGUUAAAGUAAUGUUUAUGCAUUAUGCCUAUCAGAUUCUUGUGUAGUUUUCCUUUUCAUGUAUCCUAGAUUGAAACAAACUCUGUGACCCUAAGCUGUCUCAAUUCCAAAUUUAGUUGACUACAUGAAUCUUUUAUAUCAACUCAACACAGUGGAAAAAUACAUCUUUAGCAACUACUUCAAGACCACCACAAGAUAAAGCAAUAUCAAGGUCCCCAUCAACAUAGAGACCAGCUAUCAUGCCAAAUGAAUCCCGGCACUGAAAUAGCAGCAAAGUAAAGUGACAAUGGGUGUACAUAAGUUAGUUUCAAUAGAAUAACACGAUAGAAAACACUAAUGUACAAAUAUCACAGUAGAAACAAAGUUUGAGAGCAAUGGAUCACGAAGGGGAUAAACGUAUUUCCAAGUGUUACAGUAACAGCAUUAAUAUUGAACCUGCAGUCUUCCUUCCAUUCAAACAGACUGUCAACAGCCUCUGCCAAUGCAGAAUGAACAACUAGAUUCUUGUGUUUUCAAGAAAUUAUGGUCCUACAAUUGCAGCCACAGGAAGACACACAUACUAGUGAAUGCUUCAGCGUAAAGCUAUUCAUCAUUGAGGGGAAACGGUUAAAAGACACCAGAAAGAUGCAUAACCGCAGUUCCCCUGGAGAGCAAAGAACGUGCAAAAACUUGCACUCAUGACUUAUCAACUAGCAGCACUUUUCUUUCUGAAGAACUAGUUGCAAUAUCAAGGAAAAAGAAUUCCAUGAUGUGGAACCAUUAUCAUCAUAAGUAUCAUAUAACAGAUCAAUCUACAUAUAACCAUUUAUUUAAGGGAAGGAGAAGCUUGUUCAACAUUUUGUUAUGAUGAAUUUGACUUUAAGCUACCAACAAUGUGAGAUGAAAUUUAGAAGUAGGCGAGUCUCGCUCUAUACAUGCUGUUGGAGUUGUAAGGUUAACUUCAACUCUUUGAAGUAAAAAUAAAGAAAGAAAGAAGAGAACAAAUAAUUUACUGCACAAAGGUUUAUUUUUCAUUAAUCUAUAGUGGUGCUUAUAUACUAAAAAAAAUGCAAUAACUAAAGCCUAUAAUUAAUCCACUACUUUGUACCUGAUUCCAUGAUCAGCAAUAUUCAAAAAAACUACACCACUAACAUCUAAAAAUCAGCCACUAAACUAAGUUGUUGAGAACAUGGCUAAAAAAAGUUGGAUGAUGUCCAACAAUUGCUCCUACUUUUACUGCAAUAACUAAGGCAAUAAUCAACACUCCUCCAUGCUUCAAUUUCUGCAAAUUCCAAGCCUUUCUCCGAGAAAUUCAAAUCUGCUCUUUGGCAAGGCUUUGGUAAACAUAUCUGCUAGUUGAAGAUCCGUCUUGCAGUACUUUAACCCAAUCGAUCCUUCUUUUUGCAUGUUUCUAAGAAAGAAUAAUUUGAUAUUGAAAUUCUUAGUUUUUGCAUGAAAAAUAGGAUUAUUUGAGAUAGCAAUAGCUGCUUGAUUAUCCACAAACACCUUUGUGCACUUCUCUUGCAUUAAAUUAGAUCAAGUAGCACUUUUCUAAACCAUAAGGCUUGAUUUGCAGCAGCUGACCAAUUUCUUGCUUUUUAGACCACUAAGAAAAUACACCUGAACCAAGACUAAAACAAUAACCAGAAGUGCUCUUCAUGUCUUUAGAAGUUGCUCGGACUCUUCAAUUAUGUCUAUGGGUGCGUGUCGGAUCCUCCAAAAAUAGUAUAUUUUUGAAGGAUUCGACACGGGUGCAGCAACAUUUUUGGAGAGUCCGAGCAACUUAGAUCAGAAUACCCCUGCAACACGUGCUUCUGAUUUGCAUUGAACUUGAUUCCAAAAUUCAGUGUUCCCUUAACAUAUCUUAUCACCCUUUUUUCUGCUCUAAAAUGAGUGUUAGUUGCACAAUUAGUGAAUCUAGAUAAAAGACUUACAGCAUAUAAAAUGUUGGGACUAGUUGCUGUAAGAUACAUGAGACAUCCAACCAUACUUCUGUAAAGAGUCUCAUCCACUUUUUCAGCUUCAUCAUUUUUGCUCAACUUCUCCUUUUGACACAUCGGAGUAGUUGUGUCUUUGCAAUUUUCCAUUCUGAACUUCUUCAAACUGUCUCUUGCAUACUUCUUUUGACAAAUGAAAACUUCAUUUUGCUCUUAAGCCUUAGAAACAGUGCUAUAACCCACAAAUAUUCCAGCUUCCGCCUUUUUAUCAAGCUUAUCUCUUUUACUCUGUGGCACAUAUGUAAAGCACACACAUCCAAACACUGAGAGAUUUUUUUAAAAAGGUGUAAAACCAUACCAGAUUUCAAAUGGUGUCUUUCAUUCUAAUGCUUUUGUUGGAAGCCUGUUGAGUAGAAAGACUAAGACUGGUGUAUGAGUAGUUUCUGCCCAAUACUCUUUUGGUAAACAUUUCUCAUGCAACAAGCAUCGAGCUAUCUCCAUUAUGGUACGAUUCUUCCUCUCACUAACUCUAUUUUUCUGUGGAGUAUAUGCAGCAGUGAGUUGGUGUUCAAUUCCAGCUUCUUCACAAAACGCAUUGAAUUGAUCAAAUGUAUACUCCUUGUCGUUGUCGGACCUUAUAAUUUUACAGCCACUUUGAGUUACAAUCCACUGCUUGAAUUUCCAAAAAAUAGUGGCAACCUCUGACUUGAACCUAAGAAAAUAAAUCCAACACAUUCUCGUAUAGUCAUCGAUGAAAACAAUGCAAUACUUACUACCUUUGAGUGACGGAGUUCGUUGAGGACCAGCCAAAUCUGUGUGGAUUAAUUUUAGCUUUUCAAUGGCUCUCUAGGUUGCUUUCUUGAAAGGCAGCCUUGCAUGUUUGCCAAAUUGACAAGUUUUGCAAUCUGCUAUUUCGACUUCAAGAUUAGGUAGCCCUCGAACCAGAUCUUUCUUUUGUGAGUUAAUUACAGCAGCAUGAUUGAAAUGUUCGAAUCUUUUGUGCCAAACUUGUGCAUUAAUCUUAGUUGCAGAGUAAGCUUUUUUGCUCAUGAUCUAAAAGAUCCUAUGUAAAGCUCCUUCCCUUCAUCAUUACCUUGAAUAAGUUCCUGCCAUCUUCAUCAUUGAUUUGACACUAAUUUGAUUCAAAGAGAAGUUUGAAACCAUUCUCAAGCAUCUGCCCAACACUUACCAGACUAUGGCUAAUAUUAGGUACAAAAAACACAUCUUUGAUUGGUUUUGUACCUAAGGAGUAUUUCAUUUCCACAGUACCUUUACCUUCAGCAAAAAUAUAGUCUCCAUUACCAACUUGUACUUUGGAAAUUACCGAAGUAUCCAAUUUCUUGAAGAGAUCAUGAUCAAAUGUCAUGUGGUUUAUGCAACCACUGUCAAUAAGCCACUUAUCACUCGAGCAGCUAGUUGCCGAAUAUGUCAUUACAAAGAGCUGCUCUUCAUCUUUCUAAUUAGCUACCUAUGCAGCAUUAGUCUGCUGAGUGUUGUUCUUGCAAACCUUCUGAUGAUGUCCCAUCUGCUGACAUUUCUCACACUGUUGGUCUGACCUUCUCCAGCAUUUGAACGGUGGAUGACCCUUCUUUCCACAAUGCUUUCAAGGAGGAAAAUCAUGUUUCACUUCCCUAUUGAUCCCAGGAGAAUGAGAACUUGAGUUUUCCUUCUUGUUCAACUUCUUCUUUCCUCGAUUUGAUUAAACUUUUGCAGGUAGUAAACCCUCAAUCGAUCUUUCGGACCUCAUAAGUCUUCUCCGUUCUUGUACCUACAAAGCAUUCAAUAGUUCUCCCAAACUAAUCUGUGACAGAUCCUUAGUAUUUUCCAGUGCAGAAAUAGUUGUUUCAAACCUUUCAAGGACUAUUACUGGAACUUCUUGAACCAAUCUAGAAUCAGAAAAUACAGAGCCAAGUAAUCUUACAUUGUUGGCAAUGUUGAGUAAUCUAUCAGAAUACUCUUUGAUUAUCUCCAAAUCCUUCCUCUUUAACAGCUUCCCACAAAUUGUUUUUGUAACGCCUCGAUUUUCUGAACCGAAACGCUACACGGUGCUCAUGACCCGAAGGACCACAAGCUAACCCAUGACUGAUAUCUGUACCUGUAAAUUGCAUAAUAUCUCAUAAAAUAUACGGAAACAUGAACUGUAAGGCCAUAAAGUUCAUUACUGAUACAUAUCUGAAAAAUAUGGUAUAACAAUACCAAAAAGAAACAUAAAUACUGAAGUCUGAACAUCUAAUCUGACAUCUAGUCCGAAAUCCUCUAAUUGAACUGAAUAAGGAGUUGAAGGAACAUGUCUCCAACUAACUCUAUGAACUGAAAAACUAAUCUGAAAUACUGCAAUAAAGUAAUAAUAAUAUUGUCCUCGAAUGAAGAGGAGCACUAACGGCUGAAAUCUGCAAUGCUACUGCUGCUCUGAAACUCGUGCCUCUGUACCUAUGGCAUCAAAUAAAACACCAUAGCGCGAAUGCAUCAGUACGACUGAAUGUACUGAGUAUACGAGCGAGGUAGGCUAAAUGCAAAGGGUUUUAUAUGCAUAAACAAUGCUGACUAAUAUGAACGUGAGAAUAUAUACAUACAUACAUACAUACGUAACUGCAACUAAACUCGUGGUGAUACUGACGACUGAGUCUGAAUACUGGAAAUAUGAGUUUACUGAUGCUGAGAUACUGAAUGACUAAGUUUACUGAUAUUGAGAUACUGAAUGACUGAGUUUACUGAUAUUGAGAUAUUGAAUGACUGAGUUUACUGAUAUUGAUAUGUAAUUCACUAAUAAGUGAGGAACUGAUACUGUAUUACUGAAUACUGGGAGACUGAUACUAUAUUACUAAUAAGGAAUGAUUGUUUCUGAUAAUUCUGAUUAUGAAGAACUAAUUUGAUUGAUCGUAUAUAACAGUCCUGGAACUGAGCUCAUGAUAACAUGACUAUUGAGUAUGAAUACUGAUGACAUGUAUUUACUGAUAACAUAUCAUGAAUGAUAACUGAAUUCUGAUAACUGAUAGUAUGAAUGACUGUAUCUGACAGUCCUAGAUCUAAUGGAACUAGCUGAGUUCCGUAUUGUAUCUGAGUUGACUGUAUCUGACAGUCCUGAUAUCCUGAAGAACUAUCUGAGUUCUUUUACUGAGACUAAUAUUGAAACUGUGGGAAGUAGUUAUCUAAUCGACAUGCCCCAAAUAUGCUAAAAUAUAUAAGCUGGGGUCCAAUCUCUACCCUGAUUGGAAGGGUGUCAAUACCGCGCCACUGGUAAGGACAAGCUGUGAGUGACCCUCAUCUAGCAGGUACUCUAAUGAGAACGGUGGAAACCCUCAUCUGCCAGGUUAAGCCACCUCAUCUACCCUCAACUGAUGGGUAUUGAUGUCUCAACCUAUGCUGGCUACAUAGUUCUAGAACGCAAGGACUGCUUCUAAGAAUCACACUCUCUACUGGUAGGUGAGUUCCUAUCCUUGGGUUCGCUCGGUGCUGAAUCCUACUCCCAACUGAAUGACACUGAACUAAUUAUACUAAAUUGAUUUCCUAGUUCGUACUAGAAUUAACUGAACUGUUACUGAUCUGUUUAACUGAACUGGACAUGGACUGAGUUUAUUAAGUUACGAUGCCUAGCGGAACACUACUGAAUUCUGUUAACUGACUAAAUGCUAUUGAGUUCUGUUAGCUGACUGAAGUCUACUGAACAUGGCUUGACUGAGAGUAUCGUGAAAACAUGACAUGGCUCUAGGCACACAGCUAUAUUUUUCGGGUACGAAUACCUCCAAGACUCGAUGGAAGGAAACUGACAUGACUUGACAUACAAGAGUACUUGACCAACAUUAACAGUCCAUAAUAUAGCAUCUAUGGGAGAUUCAUAAAUCAUGUGGUUUUCAUAACCUUUUCAUAUAGCUAACAUCAUGGUCAAUUCUAAUAUCAUGACAAGCCAACAACAUAUUCAUAGCACAUUAAUAGCAUAGAAAUCAUCUUGAUCAAGUAGACAUGACAUAACUGAAGAGACAUGGCAAAAUCUUNNNNNNNNNNNNNNNNNNNNNNNNNNNNNUCAUUAUUUAUUCGUUGAGGCACAUUAUCAAACACAUGGUAGGCAUAGCUUUAGCAUGGAAGUCAACUUAAGCACAUGGAUAUGGCAUGGAAUCAUCAUUUAUAUCACAAAUAGGUCAAAGUUCUCAAUUCUUCUUCACUUAGGCAUUUACAAACACCUUGCAUGCACUAUUUAGGGCAUAGGCCUAAUGAUCAAUUUUAUACACCAUAACACCAUAAUUCAACUCAAUUUCACCAAUUGAAUCAACAAAAUAUCAUGGUAUCUCGAACAACAUGUAAAGAUUCAAACUUUAUUCACACAACAUGGAAUUCACGUGAAAUCAUAAAAUAUGGAGUAAGGACUUGUUAAUUGAGCACUCUUAAAUCAUGAAAACAUGAUUAUGCCUAUUCUAGGCAUUUCGUCGAACACCUUGCAUGAACACUUUAUGGCAUAGGUGUUCUUAAUAAUUUAGUCAUCUUAAACCACCCAAUNNNNNNNNNNNNNNNNNNNNNNNNNNNNNNNNNNNNNNNNNNNNNNNNNNNNNNNNNNNNNNNNNNNNNNNNNNNNNNNNNNNNNNNNNNNNNNNNNNNNNNNNNNNNAAGAAAUUCUUAGACAUGUUCUUGAUUCCUUGACUAGGGUUCUUGUUCCUUUGAGAGAAAAUAAAUUGGCUCUUGAGUUUGAAAAACUUGAAUAUCAUAUAUUCUUGAAGACGGAUUUGAUUCUUGUUAUAGGUUAUGAUCUUGAGAGAAACCCUUCUUUUGAUGUUGAAGAUAAAUGAGGAGUUAUGUUCUUUAAUUGAUUGGAUUUGAGUCUUCAAAUUGAAACCCUAGCUUGAGUUCUUGAGAGUAUUUUGAGAAGAGGAGUAUAUUUUGUUACAAAUAAGCCUUAAUCCCUUGUUUGGGGUAUAUAUAGGGGUGGAAGAUGACCAAGAUACCCCUAAGGAACAAUUAAGGUUAAAUCUGUCCCUAAUUGACUGUCUGAAAGGCUGAAAAAAAUUGAUCAUAACCUUUUAUUUAGAUGUACAAAUGGGAUGAAACUAAUUUCAUUGGAAAGGAGACUCAAAGAUCUUUCCAUUGAUAUAUAGAAUCUCUCACAGUUCAUUAUAUAUUGGGAGUUAUCAUCGUUUGAAGUUGACUCUGAAAUGCUGAAAAAAUUGGGCAAGCACUGGAGUUAGUAGGCUGCGCGGGCUAAUCGUCCGGGGCUUCUGUUUUGUGCACCCAAACAUGCCUUUACGCUACUCCAAAAAUUAUGAAACUCACCCGGGAUAUAUUACGAUCUUUCCCGAUCGUAACUCAACUUGAAAAUUAAAAAACGGUCGUCGGGAAGGUCGCCAAAUAAAUCCCCAAAGUUUGGAGGUCUAAAAUAAAACUAAGUGUUGAAUCUUGAACACUUAGCAAAAUUUUCUAAGUCUUGGGAUCUUUCAUGGAGCUUUACGAGCUGAAUUUGACACGUGAUUUUGUGGGGUAUUACAAUAUCUCUCCCUUGGGAAUAUUCGUCCUCGAAUGAGACUGACUGAGAGGGGAAAAUGAUAAACUGGAGUACGUACAAGAAAUUCACUACUGAGACAUGGGUUCAUGACUGACAUGAUUGAAAAUUGAGCAUAUUAUAUUGAACAUGCACAUCUGAUGCAUGGGUAACUAGUUUAUGAAUGAAGGACUGAGUGUUCUGAUAAACUGAGUUUCUCAAAUGGGAAUGCAUAUCUGAUGCAUAACUGAUAAGCUGAAUCCAUGUAUAUCUGAUACAUGAAUACAUGACUGAAAGUGUGGAUAAGCUGAUCACACAUAACUGAUGCGUGAAUACAUGACUGAACUGGCUCGUGAACAUGCGACUGAACAUACAAUGGUAAAAGAUACUAAGUUUUGAACUAAAAGCUGGGCAUGGAACUAAAUACCAAGUUUGGUACUGAAAUCUGAACAUGAGAAUGAGUAAGUUCAAGGAAGACUGUUACGUUGAACUGGAAAUAACAGUGAGUCUGAGAUUAAUUACUCAAUAGGCAUGAGCGGGAACAUGAGGACGUAACUGAGCCUGAAACAUGAUACAUAAACGAACUGAGCUUGCAUCUGCUGAAAACUCAUGGUCGACAGGAGCCUUUCUUUAACACCCUUUCUUUAACUCUCUUUCUAUAGAGUUCUAGUGGCUCUAGAUUGCAAGGAAAUCUUGGUGUGGUCUGUCCCUAAUUGACUGUCUGAAAGGCUGAAGUAAAUUGAUCAUAACUUUUUAUUUAGAUGUCCAAAUGGGAUGAAACUAAUUUCAUUGGAAAGAAGACUCAAAGAUCUUUCAAUUGAUAUAUAGAAGCUCUCACAUUUCAUUAUAUAUUGGGAGUUAUGAUCAUUUGAAAUUGACCCUGAAAUGCUGAAAAAACUGGGCAAGCACUGGAGUUAGCAGGCUGCGCGGGCUAGUCGCCCGGGGCUUCUGUUUUGGGCACCCAAACAUGCCUUUACUCUACUCCAAAAAUUCUGAAACUCACCCAGGAUAUACUAAGAUCUUUCCCGAUCGUAACUCAACUUGAAAAUUGAAAAACGAACGUCGGAAAGGUCUCCAAAUAAAUCCCCAAAGUUUGGAGGUCUAAAAUAAGACUAAGUGUUGAAUCUUGAACACUUAGCAAAAUUUUUUAAGUCUUGGGAUCUUUCAUGGAGCUUUACGAGCUGAAUUUGACACGCGAUUUUGUGGGGUGUUACAGUUUGCAUCCAUAUAUGCCUCCAUUCUUGCUGCCUAGACAUGAUAGCCUUCACCUUUAAAGACAGGUGGUGCUAGUGCAGUGAAAGGAGUCUCUGAAUCCAUAGAAGAAAAAACAAGAAGAGAAAGAUAUGUUUCCCUCAAAUGCAGGUCCCUAAAGAAGACAUCUCUUGAUACCAAUUUGUUGGAGUUGUAAGGUUAACUUCAACUCUUUGAAGUGAAAACAAAGAAAGAAAGAAGAGAACAAAUAAUUUACUGCACAAAGGUUGAUUUCUCAUUAAUCUAAAGUGGUGCUUAAAUAGUAAAAAAAAUGCAAUAACUAAAGCCUAUAAUUAAGCCACUACUUUGUACAUGAUUCCAUGAUCAGCAAUAUCCAAAACAACUACAACACUAACAUCUAAAAAUCAGCCACUAAACUAAGUUGAGAACAGGGCUAAAAAAUGUUGGAUAAUAUCCAACAAUUGCUCCUACUUUUACUACAACAACUGAGGCAAUAAUCAACACAUGCACAUCGUCAUAACAUUAGUACAUCACAAAAGAACUGUCAAAACAGGGAAAGCUCACCUUUCUUCAUUGCACUCCAUGUAGUAGGCAGAGGGUGGAAUAGCAGUUUGGUUGUUCCAAACACAGCGUUUUCACUUCCUGAAAGUUCAAUAAUACGGAACAGUUAACAGAAAACCUCAUUGACAUCUCCUAUGACAAGUAAAAGCAGUGUUGAUCUAGAAAGCAUCACAUGAACAGCUAGCUCCGUCAUAGCUAACAUUAUAACAUGUUCUAAACACAAGUUGCUGUCCGUGUUUGAGCAAAAAAAGGAGCUCAUUUCCCUACAUUUGAAUAUGUCGAAGGUUCUUUAAUUCACGCUGUAAGCAGUGAACACGAACAAAUAAAAGGUAGUUAAGUAAUCUGAAGUCCAGACUGCAUGAAAGUUAACAUUUGUCCCCCGUAUUGUUUCCACUAAAUGUACAAUUAGAGAUAUGUUCGCUACGUUUCAUUUCAAUUUUCACCCCUAUUUCCUCAAUUUAGUGCCACACAGGAUGAAAAUCAACAAAUUGAAUCUCAACAAAAAGUAAAUCCAGAUGUGUUAAAUUCUUGAAAUAAAAUCCCUGCAGGUAUUAGCAAAUUUUCCUUGCUAAUCCACACGCGGCUACAUUGACUUCGGCCAGAUUGCACAAAAUCGUGCUGAUACAUUGAUAUCAAACAAAAUCGACAUUCCGUCAAGGCUAUCAGUUUCUUACAAGGUGAUAAUUUAUAUGGACGGGGAAUAUUACUUAAACUCACACAAGUACUUAAUAGAUUUCUUAAAACACACGCACACACAACAGGUUACUGAAUUACGUACACACAUAAGUGGGUUACAAGAUAAUCUGUUUAAAUUGUCUUGUUCUUAGCCAUUUCUAUACGCAUUGAUACUUAACGAUAGUGAUAAUCUUGCUGCUAAUGACAGUUUUUGUCUUGGUUGAGACAGCAUAAAACAUCUCCAUGCACUGUCAUUUUCAUUAUUUUGAUGUUUCACCUACCUCAUAAAUCUAGAGGAAAUAUUCAAAAACAAGAACAAUGAGCUAAGUGGUCUAAGGGGCUGCAAUUUUGUAGUACCCCCGCAUCCAUUAACACGAUGCAAACUAGGUAUAAUUAUACAAGAAAUGUAUAAAAAUUGGUAUAGGAUUUAAAAAGGAAUGCUGGAAACCAAGAUGAUAGUUAAGUGCAUUGUUUCCAGGCGGAACCUUAAAGCCUUGGGGGUCAAUAUGCGUGUUCGAACCUCCCCGACACCCACGAUCCCUAAAUCAUGAAUCCACCACUGAUGUGGUCUCAUGAUACCAAACUCAUCAAUAUAUGAAACAUCUAUGACCUUUACAAUUUCUUUAAUUUGAUGUUGCAGCCUGCCACAUUAAUCUAAUGGACCUUUUCUAAUAAAAAACAGUGAGCCAACUGGUCCAAUAAUGCCUAACUAAUCAGUAUAUAAGGACCUAAAAAUAGUUGAGCCAUAUAUGCAUGUCACAUUACAUUCUUCUGCACUUUUUUCUUCCCCUUUCAUAAUAGUACCAAGCCAAAAGGUACCUACAAAGAUGGAAGUUAAGAACAAGUAUGUAGCAAUAAAAGCCAGCAUAAAUGGUGCACCAAAAGAGUCAGACUUUGAGAUAAAAGUCGAAAACCUCUCACUUAUAGUUGAGCCAGAGUCUAAGGUGGUGGUUGUCAAGAACCUGUUUGUAUCAAUUGAUCCCUAUCAGAUAAACUGGAUGAAGAGCCAAAGUUCAUCACAAACAUCGAUAAGAUAUGCAAAUGCCAUUACUCCUGGAGAGGUCAUUGACACUUAUGGUGUAGGAAGAAUGUUGGUUUCUCAUCGGCCCGACUUCAAGAAAGAUGAUUUGGUAGCAGGCUUUCUUACCUGGGGAGAGUACACUAUAGUAAAGGAAGGUUCCCUGUUGAAUAAGUUGGAUCCUAGUCUGGCGUUUCCUUUGUCUUACCAUGUUGGAGUUUUGGGAUUCAGCGGACUUGCUGCCUAUGGUGGAUUCUUCAAAGUGUGCAAGCCGAAGCCAGGGGAGAAAGUUUUAGUGUCUGCUGCUUCUGGUACAAUCGGACAUUUAGUAGGACAGUAUGCUAAAUUACUUGGAUGUUAUGUUGGUGGCUCUGCUGGUAGCCAAGAAAAGGUAAAUUUUCUUAAGGAGAAACUUGGAUUCGACGAUGCAUUCAAUUAUAAACUAGAAGCUAACCUCAAAUCAGCUCUCAAAAGGUGUUUCCCUAAAGGGAUUGACGUCUACUUUGACAACGUCGGAGGCAAGAUGCUAGAAACUGCAUUGUCAAACAUGAACUCACUGGGCAGAGUAGCCAUCUGUGGGGUUAUUUCUGAGUACACGAAUGCUAGCACACGAGCUUCCCCGGAAAUGUUGGAUAUAGUCUACAAGAGGAUUAGCAUCCAAGGAUUCCUAAUAGCUGAUCUCAUGACAGUGUAUGCAGAUUUCCUGUCGAAAACAGUUGAGUACCUCCACGAUGGAAAACUUAAGGCCAUCGAAGAUAUCUCACAAGGCGUUGAAAGCAUUCCCUCUGCUUUUAUUGGAAUGUUCAAUGGAGAUAAUAUAGGCAAAAAGAUUGUCAAAGUUGCAGAUGAGUGAAAAAAAGAAAAAGAAGAUUCACGGCUGUUGGCCUAUACAUUCAUGAAUUCGCGAACAAUAUCUUAUCUGUACUUCUUUCAAGUUGUAAUCCAUUUAAGCAUUCAUCUUCUGCAUCAAGUUAAAGAACAAGUUUACGUAUUAUGCCUAUCUGAAUCUUGUUUAGUUUUCCUUUUCAUGUAUCCAGGAUUGAAACAAACUCUGUGAUCCUAGUCUACCAACUAUGCCUCAAUCCCAAAUUUUUUAUAUCAACUCAACAAAGUGGAAAAAUACAUCUUUAGCAACUACUUCAAGACCACUAUAAGAUAAAGCAAUAUCAAGGUCCCCAUCAACAUAGAGACCAACUAUUAUGCCAAAAUGAACCCGGGUACUGCAAUAGCAGAGAAGUAAAGUGACAAUGGUUGUACGUAAGUUAGUUUCAAUAGAAUAACAUGAUGGAAAACACUAAAUGUACUAGUAUCACAGUAGAAACAAAAUUUGAGAGGAAUGGAUCAGGAAGAGGAUAAACGUAAUACCAAGUGUUACAUUAACGGCAUUAAUCAUGAACCUGCAGUCAUCCUUCCAUUCAAACAGACUGUCAACAGCCUCUGCCAACGCAGAAUGAACAACUAACUUCUUGUGUUUUCAAGAAAUUAUGGUCCUACAAUUGCAGCCACAGGAAGACACACACAUAGUAGUGAAUGCUUCAUCGUAAGGCUAUUCAUCCUUGACGAGAGCGGUUAAAAGGCACCACAAAGAUGCAUAACCACAACUCCCCUGGAGAGCAAAGAACGUGCCAAAACUAGCACUCAUCAACUUGCGACACUUUUUUUUUUGGGAGAACUAAUUGCAAUAUAAGGAAAAAGAAUUCGAUAAUAUGGACUAUUAUCAUCACAAGUAUCAUGUGACAGAUCAACAUCUAGUUCAGAUUGAUCUACAAAAGCCACACAUUCAAGGGAAGGAGAAGCUUGUUCAACAUUUGUUAUGAUGAACUUGACUUUAAGCUACCAAUAAUGUGAGACGAGAUUUAGCAGACAGGUAACUCUCGCUACAUACAUGCACAUGGUAUGGUAAUAACAUCAGUACAUUACAAAGGAACUGUAGAAACAGGGAAAGCCCGCAUUUCUUCAUUGCGUUCCAAGCAGUUAGCACAGAGAGUGAACUAGCUGUUCGGUUGUUCCUAACAUAGCUUUUUCACUUCCUGAAAAUUCAAUUAGACAGAUUAGUUAGCUGAUAACUGCAUUGACAUCUCAUAUGACAAGUAAAAGCAGUAAUGAUCAAGAAAGCAACACAUGAAGAGCGAGUCCCGACACAGUCUACAUUUAAAGUGUAUUAAACACAAGCUGCUGGCCUUGUUUGAGCAUAAAAGACGAGCUGCAUUUCCCUACAUUUAAAUAUGUCGAAGGCUCUUUAGUUCAUGUUGUAAGCAGUGAAGAUGAACAAAUACAAGGUAGUUGGAUAACCUCAAGCUAGACUGCAUGAAAGUGGUGUAUAAAUGGUAUACUUAGUAUGACAAAUCCCAUAAGAAAAUAAAAAUGAACAAAGAGAUGCUCAUCCUGAUUCCAGUGCAACAUAUUGACCGGCCCAAAAAUGGGUAAUUUGAUUCAGAUCUGGAACACUUCACAGAAAGCAUGACCCUCCCACUACUAAAAAAGACCAAAAAAUGACGGCCAAAAGUGAAGGACAAUGUCGUUUUUUUGGACAACGUUGCUUUUUGCAAACGAUGGCCUGCGUCGCUUUUUUUACCGCGGACAAAGUCGUUUUUUGAAAAAAAAAAAAAGAUCUUUUUAGAAAAAGCGACGUUGUGCGUGGUUUUUUGUUCUUCAUGUGUAGAAUAAAUAAUGAAUAAAAAACGAUGGACAUUGUCAUUUUAUUGAAGAAAAAUAUUUUUUUUUUAGAAAAACCGACAACGUCCGUCGCUUUUCUAUAUUUUUUUGAAUGCAGAAAUCGGCAUUUUCUGCAUUCCACCUGCCAAAUAAAAAUGCAAUUCAAUAUGUACGGCCCCUGACAACACACAUUACUAAAAUAAUCAUACAACACACUACAUCAUCAAAACAUUUAAGCAAUUCAAUUAAACAACAUCCAAAACACUUAACAAUUAAUCCAACAACAUCAAAACACUUAAGUGAUCUUGAAGGUUUUCCAAUAGUUAAAAGUUAAAAGAAUGUUUAAAAAGUGUCUAGAAGCCAAAUCCAAAAACACUAAGGAGUAGCCCCAACAAACUCCUCAUCACUUUCUCCUCAUCACUUUCUGUUUCUUCUUCGCUACUUGAAUCGGGAGAUGGAGAACGGUGACGACAACGAUGAGUCAUGCUAACCAUUUGUUUCUUAAGUUCCUCGAUGGUCAUGCACAUGACUUCAGUUUGAGCAACAGAUUGUGCCACGACGCGUGUAAGCUGUGCAAUUUGUUGCGACAUAUCAGCGAGCUGAACACCAUUAAUCGCCUCAGCCUGGCGCGAGGAACCAAUACCAGCCCAUCCAACCUCGAAGCGUUGCAAUUCAUUUCGAGAACCCAACCCAUAGGUUCUCCCCUUGUCUUCCUCCCGCCACUUUUUCGGUCCGAAUUUGAAUAGCUUCCUCCUAUGUAGGCUCGAUUGGACCAAACUCAGACACGUAGCGUGUAUAUUCAUUCUGCAUAUUAAAAAGGACACGUUAGUAAAUUUUACUAUUACUAAGUAAGGUGGAGCAUAACGUAAAUUUUAAUAUGUUUUGCUUACAUAUUGAAUACAAAAAUAAAUAAGAAAUCAACUUUUUUUUCCUAAACAUUAUUUUAAAGCUAACUUUUGCUUUCCAUCAAAUCUAAUUCGACAAGAAUUUCCACACACAACCCUUUGACUUUUUAAAAUUUGUUCCUCGUAUUGUUUCCACAAAUUGUACAAUUAAAGUUAGCAUGGCUACGUCUCAUUUCAUCCUAUUUCCUCAAUGUAGUGCCACAAAAAGGAUCCAAAUCAACAAACAAUAAGUAAAUCCAUGUUAGUCAAAUUCUUGAAACAAUUUUCCUACAAGGAUUAGCAAAAAUCGUUCGAUAACACUUCUUCCUAUUUCUUUCUCAAUGAUAUCCGACGAUCAAUUUUCCUUGCAAGUACAUACUCGGUACAUUGACCUCGGUCAGAUUUCAGAAAAUUAUGCUAAUACGUUGAUAUCAAACAAAAUAGACCUUCCGAGAAAUGCAUUAAACAAGCCUAUUAGUAAUUUGUACUUGGUGAUACAUCACCAUAGCAUUGAAGAGUUCUUGGAAAGGUCAAGUUACAGAUAUGAUUUGCUACGGUAUUUAGCAACAAGAUAGAGAAUUACUUACAGUAGGGAGACAACUUGUUUAAAAUAACAAAGAAGAGGAGAAUUGAGCUUUAGUAAUUAGAAGAAAGCAUCGCAUUAAACAACGCUUUAAAUCCCAAUAGAUUUAUCUAGAUUCCCCUGUUCAUUGGCAUCUCCAAUCUACACUAGUGAUAAAAACAGUUUAAUGUGUUUCCUCAAUCCUUUUCUCCUUCCAACCCACUUUUCUUCAUGACAACUUUAUUACCAAACUGCGAGAAGAUUUAAAUUGACCAAAUAUGCAACAGAAUGAGAAGAUAGACCUGGAGAAAAUUAUCAGUAAGCUAUAAGCAGCAACGAAAAGGACCAAAUUAGAUAGUAUCUCCUACUUUAACUCUUAUUCAGUAAUGCCACUAUUUCGUAUUUUUCCCUGUUAAGUUUCACCUAAGAAGACAAGUAAAAGUAGGUGCGAGAUCAAACACUAGCACGGGUUAGGCACAUUAUGCUGCCAUGAUUUCUGUGUCCGUGGUCCCCUUUAUGAUUACUCUAUCUAGAGGCCGAAUCGACCCCCUUAUAAAGCUUCUCAAGAAGAACACUAAAAUUAGUCCAGAAGAAAAACACAGAUUAUGUAGAUUGUAAUACCUGAAGAAAAAUACAGCUAGUAACUAGAAGCAAUGAGAAAACCAAAACAAAUCCAGAAGAAACUAAGCAGUUAGCUACCUAUUAGCUGCAAUGAGAAAAGCGAAAAUCAGAUACUAGGAAGACCGUAAUAUCGAUUCCAAAAGUAUCGAGUUUCCGCUUUAUGCCUCAUUAGGUUUCACCAAUAAAAGAUUAAUUAAAGAAGCCACUAGAUCAAACAAUAACCCUGGGAAGGACCUCAGCUUUAUCGGUGCAUUCACAUGCCAAACGUUCUAUGUUCAUGGUGCUCUUACUCCGACUAGAGGCAUAACAUUCUUUAAAACACCGCUGAACAAGAGAAAAGAUGUCCAACAUCAUUUAGUUCAAAGUCAAAGACAAAUUUAUUGUUCCUUGAAGAUAGUGCAUAAAGGAAAAAAUGACUAACAAGAUCUCGAAGCAAUACGGUUUAAAGAUGUCUUUUACAUAUGCAUUGUCUUGUUCUGUAUGCGAAAUAACAAUACGAACUUAACAGCAAUUGAGGAAAACAAAGUAUACUUACAAGUUCUUUGUCACUUGGUUUUCUUUGAUUGGAGUUUUUUCAGCCUUUUGUGUUUUGUUGCAUCUGCAGCCUCUUCUUUAGAAAAAGGACAAACUAGACUUUCAACGUAGAUUGCUAUCUUAGGAAACUCAUCAAAAUCAAUAACCUCUGAAUAUCUAAAUGAAGAAUCCUUCAGCUUGUAUAUCAUGGAAUAUUUAACAAACCUGAAAAAAAUUUCACCUUUGUUUGACAUGAAACAAGGCAGAUAAAAAUCACACCGCGGUGUAUCAAAAGGAUAAUUGACGGUUAACAUCUUUGUCCAAGAUUGUUUAACCCCAUACUCCUUCAUAACCCAAAAAUCUACAUGAGAGGUCGCAUUAUCACAAAAAAUGGAAAGAUCACUUCCCAACACUCCCAAAUACAAAUGAAUAUAUCCCUCUUUGUAGCAAGGAUGCUCCACUUCUCCCCAUUUCUCGUUAGCCAAAUCAAACGAUAUGAUGUUCCAUUCCUUAUAGUCACUUAUCAAACAUUCACCUUAGCAUUAGGCCAGUGAAGUUUCCCCUUCACUAAGAUAUCUGAAAUGUAUACUUCCUCUCGACUUUUACACUUCCUCAAUUGACAAUCGUCAACACUUCCCCAAGAAUCACACUUUAGACUAUAUAGUUUGAGCUCACCUCGAUCGAACUUUACCUUUUCUACAAAAGGUACCCAAUAACUUAUAAUCAUCAUGAAACUUAUCAUAUCCAAAACCAUACACGAGCGCUUUAUCAAACCACAAUGUAGCUCUAGGACAAGGUAAUUUUUUGUACUUUCUAUUCGAUGGAUUCCAUAGAAACAAAUUAUAUUUAGAAUCCACAAGACAAAUCAAUCCAUUGAUAGAACUUAGAAUUGUUAUAUAACUAGGCAAUUCAUUGUACAACCCGUCGGAUAUCAUACGAUGACCCAAGUCAGAUACCUCCGUAACAGAAUCAUUAAAUAAAGAAUCAAGAUUACAAUCUUAAAUAUUCACCCCCUGUAUAGAAUUCCACAUCACCCUAUGUUGGGUAUAACUACUAAGAUGAGUUUGGAUAAAUUCGGGGCUCGAGAUUAAAGCAAGCCAAGAUUUCGAAACACACCUGAAUUGCAAGAGGGACAAAACUCAACAUACGCUUAUAAUGUAGAUGCUCAUUAUUAUUAUCAGAUACAAUAAAAUGUGUAUUAUUAAAUUCGGGGCUAGAGAUUUAGCAAGCCAAGAUUUCGAAACACACAAACUCAACAUAAGCUUAUGAAGUAGAUACUCUUCUUACUACUCCCUCCCCUGACAAUAUUUGUCCACUACACUAAAAUUAAAAAUAAAUGUCAAACAAUACUUGUCUGGUUUAAAAAUCAAUGAAUAAUUUACCCUUUUCUACCCACUUUACCCUCGCUAUUAAAUACUAUUCAUCACUCAAUACAUUUUUCAAAAUAUUAAAGUUAUUACUCCUUCCGUCUAUUUUUACUUGUCCACUUUUCUUAUUAUUUUGGGAUGUGCAACAAUACUUGUCCAAUUUACAAAACCAAUGGUAUUAAAUAUAAUACAUCUCUCAUUUCAUUUUUGAAAGCAAAAAAAUUAUUAUAUUCAAAAGGUGACAUAGUAAAAUCACCCCUCCAUUUAUCGUUUCAAGGUACGUGCCAAGUAAAAAGUGGAUAAGUAUUUACGGACAGAGG